GGCCGGGAGUAGAGUGGCGAACGGGCGAGUAAUGCGUUUCUAACGUGCCCCGAGGUCGGGGAUAGCUCACCGAAAGGUGUGGUAAUACCCGAUGACCUCCGCGGAUCGCAUGGUCUGCGGAGCAAAGGCUUGCUGCCUCGGGAUCGGGAAACGUGCUAUCAGGUAGUUGGUGGGGUAACGGCUCACCAAGCCGAAGACGGCUAGCGGGUGUGAGAGCAUGACCCGCCGCAUCGGAACUGAGACACUGUCCGGACUCCUACGGGAGGCUGCAGUAACGGAUCUUCCGCAAUGCGCGAAAGCGUGACGGAGCAAUGCCGCGUGCGGGAUGAAGCCCCUUGGGGUGUAAACCGCUGUCAGGGCCUAGGAAUUCUGACCAGGCCCAGAGGAAGGACCGGCUAACUUCGUGCCAGCAGCCGCGGUAAGACGAAGGGUCCAAGCGUUGCGCGGAAUCACUGGGCUUAAAGCGUGCGCAGGCGGGUAUGUAAGUGCCUUGUGAAAUCCCACCGCUCAACGGUGGAAUUGCAGGGCAUACUGCAUACCUUGAGGUCGGUAGAGGUGCCCGGAACUGUAGGUGUAGCGGUGAAAUGCGUAGAUAUCUACAGGAACGCCGAAGGUGAAGACAGGGCACUGGGCCGAUUUUGACGCUCAGGCACGAAAGCGUGGGGAGCAAACAGGAUUAGAUACCCUGGUAGUCCACGCCGUAAACAAUGUGUACUAGAUCCGGGAGGUUCUGACACCAUCCGGAUCGAAGCUAAAGUGUUAAGUACACCGCCUGGGGAGUACGGUCGCAAGGCUAAAACUCAAAGGAAUUGACGGGGGCUCACACAAGCGGUGGAGCAUGUUGCUUAAUUCGAUGCAACGCGAAGAACCUUAUCCUGGGUUUGACAUGCAUGGAUGCCCUUCCCGAAAGGGAAGUAAGCUGCUCAUUCGAGUGAAACAUGCACAGGUGCUGCAUGGCUGUCGUCAGCUCGUGCUGUGAAGUGUUGGG
This 988-nucleotide ribosomal RNA is filed under the name uncultured organism. RNAcentral's name for it is "bacterial SSU rRNA". It matches the Rfam family "Bacterial small subunit ribosomal RNA", at positions 82 to 1079 of the family's 1533-position model. The record is from RNAcentral.